AGCUUUGCACAGUGGCAGUAUCGUAGCCAAUGAGGUUUAUCCCAGGCGCGAUUACUGCUAAUUGAAAUACAGUUGGCAUUGGCAAUUUUUGACAGUCUCUACAGAGC
This 107-nucleotide small nuclear RNA is filed under the name Erinaceus europaeus (western European hedgehog). Its description in RNAcentral is "U4 spliceosomal RNA". It matches the Rfam family "U4 spliceosomal RNA". Rfam says of the family: U4 small nuclear RNA (U4 snRNA) is a component of the major U2-dependent spliceosome. The structure of U4 snRNA from yeast and human has been reported. The record is from Rfam by way of RNAcentral. Lineage: Eukaryota; Metazoa; Chordata; Mammalia; Eulipotyphla; Erinaceidae.